Molecule: ribosomal RNA, 463 nt
Filed under: uncultured bacterium
Lineage: Bacteria
Description: bacterial SSU rRNA
Rfam family: Bacterial small subunit ribosomal RNA
Source: RNAcentral
AGAGUUUGAUCAUGGCUCAGAACGAACGCUGGCGGCAUGCCUAACACAUGCAAGUCGAACGGGAUCCUGACUUCGGUUGGGUGAGAGUGGCGGACGGGUGAGUAACGCGUGGGAACCUGCCCAGUGGUGGGGGAUAACUGCGGGAAACUGCAGCUAAUACCGCAUGAGCCCGAGAGGGGAAAGAUUUAUCGCCAUUGGAGGGGCCCGCGUUCGAUUAGGUAGUUGGUGAGGUAAAGGCUCACCAAGGCGACGAUCCUUAGCUGGUCUGAGAGGAUGAUCAGCCACACUGGGACUGAGACACGGCCCAGACUCCUACGGGAGGCAGCAGUGGGGAAUAUUGGACAAUGGGCGAAAGCCUGAUCCAGCAAUGCCGCGUGAGUGAUGAAGGCCUUAGGGUUGUAAAGCUCUUUUACCCGGGAUGAUAAUGACAGUACCGGGAGAAUAAGCCCCGGCUAACUCCGUG